RNAcentral lists this ribosomal RNA (468 nucleotides) under uncultured bacterium. RNAcentral's name for it is "partial 16S ribosomal RNA". It matches the Rfam family "Bacterial small subunit ribosomal RNA", at positions 28 to 507 of the family's 1533-position model. The record is from RNAcentral.
GACGAACGCUGGCGGCGUGCUUAACACAUGCAAGUCGAACGGAAAGGCCCUGCUUUUGUGGGGUGCUUGAGUGGCGAACGGGUGAGUAACACGUGAGUAACCUGCCCUUGACUUUGGGAUAACUUCAGGAAACUGGGGCUAAUACCGGAUAGGAGCCCCUGCUGCAUGGUGGGGGUUGGAAAGUUUCGGCGGUUGGGGAUGGACUCGCGGCUUAUCAGCUUGUUGGUGGGGUAGUGGCUUACCAAGGCUUUGACGGGUAGCCGGCCUGAGAGGGUGACCGGCCACAUUGGGACUGAGAUACGGCCCAGACUCCUACGGGAGGCAGCAGUGGGGAAUAUUGCACAAUGGGCGGAAGCCUGAUGCAGCAACGCCGCGUGCGGGAUGACGGCCUUCGGGUUGUAAACCGCUUUCGCCUGUGACGAAGCGUGAGUGACGGUAAUGGGUAAAGAAGCACCGGCUAACUACGUG